This 254-nucleotide ribosomal RNA is filed under the name uncultured bacterium. RNAcentral describes it as "partial 16S ribosomal RNA". It matches the Rfam family "Bacterial small subunit ribosomal RNA", at positions 524 to 776 of the family's 1533-position model. The record is from RNAcentral.
UACGUAGGCAGCGAGCGUUGUUCGGAAUUACUGGGCGUAAAGAGUGUGUAGGCGGUGCUCUAAGUUCGGUGUGAAAUCUCCUGGCUCAACUGGGAGGGUGCGCCGGAAACUGGAGUGCUUGAGUGUGGGAGAGGAAAGCGGAAUUCCUGGUGUAGCGGUGAAAUGCGCAGAUAUCAGGAGGAACACCGAUGGCGAAGGCAGGUCUCUGGGCCGAUACUGACGCUGAGGAGCGAAAGCGUGGGGGAGCGAACAGG